RNAcentral lists this unclassified non-coding RNA (304 nucleotides) under plant metagenome. Its description in RNAcentral is "partial contains 5.8S ribosomal RNA, internal transcribed spacer 2, and large subunit ribosomal RNA". The stretch from base 1 to 105 matches the Rfam family "5.8S ribosomal RNA", at positions 50 to 154 of the family's 154-position model. The record is from RNAcentral.
GAAAUGCGAUAAGUAGUGUGAAUUGCAGAAUUCAGUGAAUCAUCGAAUCUUUGAACACACAUUGCGCCCUUUGGUAUUCCUUAGGGCAUGCCUGUUCGAGCGUCAUCUAAACCCUCAAGCCCUGCUUGGUGUUGGGUGCCUGUCCCGCCCCCGUGCGUGGACUCACCUCAAAUCCAUUGGCGGCCCUCGUGCCGGCCCCGAGCGCAGCAGAAACGCGGUCUCGUGGCCCGGCGGAGCGUGCCCCCAGAAGCAACAUUCACCGUUUUGACCUCGGAUCAGGUAGGGAUACCCGCUGAACUUAAGC